Molecule: ribosomal RNA, 465 nt
Filed under: uncultured bacterium
Lineage: Bacteria
Description: bacterial SSU rRNA
Rfam family: Bacterial small subunit ribosomal RNA
Source: RNAcentral
CCCAGACUCCUACGGGAGGCAGCAGUGGGGAAUAUUGCACAAUGGGGGAAACCCUGAUGCAGCGACGCCGCGUGAGUGAAGAAGUAUUUCGGUAUGUAAAGCUCUAUCAGCAGGGAAGAAAUAGCGACCUUUGGGUCGCCAGACGGUACCUGACUAAGAAGCCCCGGCUAACUACGUGCCAGCAGCCGCGGUAAUACGUAGGGGGCAAGCGUUAUCCGGAUUUACUGGGUGUAAAGGGAGCGUAGACGGUGAUGCAAGUCAGAAGUGAAAGCCCGGGGCUCAACUCCGGGACUGCUUUGGAAACUGUGCGGCUGGAGUGCAGGAGGGGUAAGCGGAAUUCCUAGUGUAGCGGUGAAAUGCGUAGAUAUUAGGAGGAACACCGGUGGCGAAGGCGGCUUACUGGACUGUAACUGACGUUGAGGCUCGAAAGCGUGGGGAGCAAACAGGAUUAGAUACCCCUGUAGA